Molecule: ribosomal RNA, 816 nt
Filed under: Lactobacillus delbrueckii subsp. bulgaricus
Lineage: Bacteria; Bacillati; Bacillota; Bacilli; Lactobacillales; Lactobacillaceae
Description: partial 23S ribosomal RNA
Rfam family: Bacterial large subunit ribosomal RNA
Source: RNAcentral
UAAGGUUUCCUGGGGCAGGCUCGUCCGCCCAGGGUAAGUCGGGACCUAAGGCGAGGCCGAGAGGCGUAGUCGAUGGACAACAGGUUGAAAUUCCUGUACUGCACCGAAUCGUUAUGAGCGAUGGAGGGACGCAGGAGGCUAGCAGCGCGUGGUGCUGGAUACCACGUUCAAGCGUCAAGUCUGAGAGCGAGUCAAAUGCUUGCUCUCAUAAGGACAAGGCGUGAUGAGGAGCGAAAUUAAAGUAGCGAAGGCUGCCGAGAAAAGCUUCUAGCCAGAGACGGUGCACCCGUACCGCAAACCGACACAGGUAGUCGAGGAGAGUAUCCUCAGGUGAGCGAGAGAACUCUCGUUAAGGAACUCGGCAAAAUGGCCCCGUAACUUCGGGAGAAGGGGCGCUGGUCGCAAGAUCAGCCGCAGUGAAAAGGCCCAAGCAACUGUUUAUCAAAAACACAGGCAUCUGCAAAAUCGUAAGAUGAAGUAUAGGUGCUGACACCUGCCCGGUGCUGGAAGGUUAAGAGGAGAGCUUAGCGCAAGCGAAGGUUUGAAUUGAAGCCCCAGUAAACGGCGGCCGUAACUAUAACGGUCCUAAGGUAGCGAAAUUCCUUGUCGGGUAAGUUCCGACCUGCACGAAAGGUGUAAUGAUUUGGGCACUGUCUCAACGAGAGACUCGGUGAAAUUAUAAUACCCGUGAAGAUGCGGGUUACCCGCGACAGGACGGAAAGACCCCAUGGAGCUUUACUGCAGUUUAAUAUUGGGUAUCUGUCAAGCAUGUACAGGAUAGGUAGGAGCCGGAGAAGAUAGGACGCCAGUCUUAUC